UUCAAAUUUAUUUUUACUCCAAAAGAAGUACCAGUUCCUUGUAAAUGAUAUAACCAAUCCUAAAGGACCCAGAAAAGAACAUUGAAGUCUGCCUCCACUUUUUGUCAACUCACUGGAGGUGACAGAGUCCUCAUUUUUCUAGGAAGAGGUCAAGACUUUCCUUUGUGCAUUGCAAGUGUUUACAAUCAACUCCCAGGAAAAUACUCUUCCCUGAUUUACUGAAGAAGUGAAGUUCAAAAA
Molecule: long non-coding RNA, 240 nt
Organism: Sapajus apella (tufted capuchin)
Lineage: Eukaryota; Metazoa; Chordata; Mammalia; Primates; Cebidae
Exons: 2
Source: RefSeq, a predicted model, not a curated record